RNAcentral lists this ribosomal RNA (203 nucleotides) under uncultured bacterium. Its description in RNAcentral is "partial 16S ribosomal RNA". It matches the Rfam family "Bacterial small subunit ribosomal RNA", at positions 335 to 555 of the family's 1533-position model. The record is from RNAcentral.
ACUCCUACGGGAGGCAGCAGUGGGGAAUAUUGCACAAUGGGCGCAAGCCUGAUGCAGCGAUGCCGCGUGAGGGAAGAAGGUUUUCGGAUUGUAAACCUCUGUCUUCAAGGACGAUAAUGACGGUACCUGAGGAGGAAGCUCCGGCUAACUACGUGCCAGCAGCCGCGGUAAUACGUAGGGAGCGAGCGUUGUCCGGAAUUACU